GAUGAAGAACGCAGCGAAAUGCGAUACUUGGUGUGAAUUGCAGAAUCCCGUGAACCAUCGAGUCUUUGAACGCAAGUUGCGCCCGAAGCCAUUAGGCCGAGGGCACGCCUGCCUGGGCGUCACACGUCGUUGCCCCCCCAUCUACUCCUUCGGGAUUGCGGGGGGCGGAUGAUGGCCUCUCGUGCGCCUCGUCGCGCGGUUGGCCUAAAUGCCAAGUCCUCGGCGACGCACGCCACGACAAUCGGUGGUUGCGAAACCUCGGUUGCCUGUCGUGUGCGGUCGUCGCGCAUCGAGGGCUCGAAAAAGUUGCCGGGCUUCGGCUCGACUUUCAACGCGACCCCAGGUCAGGCGGGGUUACCCGCUGAAUUUAAGCAUAUCAAUAAGCGGAGGA
RNAcentral lists this unclassified non-coding RNA (391 nucleotides) under soil metagenome. Its description in RNAcentral is "partial contains 5.8S ribosomal RNA, internal transcribed spacer 2, and large subunit ribosomal RNA". The stretch from base 1 to 122 matches the Rfam family "5.8S ribosomal RNA", at positions 35 to 154 of the family's 154-position model. The record is from RNAcentral.